CAGUAGCCACGGGAAUACGAAGGGUGCAAGCGUUACUCGGAAUUACUGGGCGUAAAGCGUGCGUAGGUGGUGGUUUAAGUCCGUUGUGAAAGCCCUGGGCGCAACCUGGGAAUUGCAGUGGAUACUGGGUCACUAGAGUGUGGUAGAGGAUAGUGGAAUUUCCGGUGUAGCAGUGAAAUGCGUAGAGAUCGGAAGGAACAUCUGUGGCGAAGGCGACUAUCUGGGCCAACACUGACACUGAGGCACGAAAGCGUGGGGAGCAAACAGGAUUAGAUACCCCUGUAGUCCCUGUCUCUUAUAC
RNAcentral lists this ribosomal RNA (301 nucleotides) under uncultured bacterium. Its description in RNAcentral is "partial 16S ribosomal RNA". It matches the Rfam family "Bacterial small subunit ribosomal RNA", at positions 509 to 807 of the family's 1533-position model. The record is from RNAcentral.